Molecule: ribosomal RNA, 397 nt
Filed under: uncultured bacterium
Lineage: Bacteria
Description: partial 16S ribosomal RNA
Rfam family: Bacterial small subunit ribosomal RNA
Source: RNAcentral
AUACGUAGGGGGCGAGCGUUGUCCGGAAUGACUGGGCGUAAAGGGCGCGUAGGCGGCCCGGUAAGUCUGGAGUGAAAGUCCUGUUUUUAAGAUGGGAAUUGCUUUGGAUACUGUCGGGCUUGAGUGCAGGAGAGGUAAGUGGAAUUCCCAGUGUAGCGGUGAAAUGCGUAGAGAUUGGGAGGAACACCAGCGGCGAAGGCGACUUACUGGGCCGUAACUGACGCUGAGGCGCGAAAGCGUGGGGAGCGAACAGGAUUAGAUACCCUGGUAGUCCACGCGGUAAACGAUGAAUGCUAGGUGUUGCGGGUAUCGACCCCUGCAGUGCCGGAGUAAACACAAUAAGCAUUCCGCCUGGGGAGUACGGCCGCAAGGUUGAAACUCAAAUGAAUUGACGGGG